UACAGAGGGGGCAAGCGUUUAUUCGGAAUUAUUGGGCGUAAAGGGCGCGUAGGCGGCAUCGCAAGUGGAAGGUGAAAUCCCUCGGCUUAACCGAGGAACUGCCCUCCAAGCUGCGUUGCUUGAGGCCGGGAGAGGUGAGUGGAAUUCCCAGUGUAGCGGUGAAAUGCGUAGAUAUUGGGAGGAACACCAGUGGCGAAGGCGGCUCACUGGACCGGUUCUGACGCUGAGGCGCGAAAGCGUGGGGAGCAAACGGG
RNAcentral lists this ribosomal RNA (254 nucleotides) under uncultured bacterium. Its description in RNAcentral is "partial 16S ribosomal RNA". It matches the Rfam family "Bacterial small subunit ribosomal RNA", at positions 524 to 776 of the family's 1533-position model. The record is from RNAcentral.